Molecule: non-coding RNA, 584 nt
Organism: Catharus ustulatus (Swainson's thrush)
Lineage: Eukaryota; Metazoa; Chordata; Aves; Passeriformes; Turdidae
Source: the annotation of a RefSeq genome assembly
AUGAUCUGGAUCCGCCAAAGACCCGGAAAGGGAUUGGAAUAUGUUGCAGAGAUUGACUAUGAUGGCGACACUUACUACGCGCCGUCGGUGCAGGGAGCGCAGGGAGCAGGGCCCGGCCCCGGCACAGCGUUUGUCCAGGCUCAGAUAAAACCGGCAAUCCUUCAAUCCUGCACGGGGGGAGAGCACAAAGAGCAGGGAGGAGACCCCGAGGGCGGGGGAGCAGGAGUCGGGGUCCAGAGGAAAGAGAAGGAGGAGACGCUGCGAACCCUGCUGGAGUGCGGGGGGGACCUCCAGCCCCCGGGGGGUCCCUGACUCUGCUCUGCCGCGCCUCCGGGUUCAGUUUUGAGGAUUAUGGAAUGUUCUGGUUCCGCCAAAGACACGGAAAGGGACUGGAAUACGUCGCAGGGAUUGACAGUGAUGAAGACACCGCCUACGCGCCCUCAGUCAAGGGCCGGUUCUCGAUCUCCAGGGACAACGGGCAGAGCUCGGUGACGCUGACCAUGAACAACCUCAAGGACGAGGAUUCCGGCGUUUAUUUCUGUGCCAAGAAUGUCUCCCUCAGUUGCCCCAAUGGUCACCACUGA